GUGGGGAAUAUUGCACAAUGGGCGCAAGCCUGAUGCAGCAACGCCGCGUGAGGGACGACGGCCUUCGGGUUGUAAACCUCUUUUAGCAGGGAAGAAGCGAAAGUGACGGUACCUGCAGAAAAAGCACCGGCUAACUACGUGCCAGCAGCCGCGGUAAUACGUAGGGUGCAAGCGUUGUCCGGAAUUAUUGGGCGUAAAGAGCUCGUAGGCGGUUUGUCGCGUCUGCUGUGAAAACCCGAGGCUCAACCUCGGGCCUGCAGUGGGUACGGGCAGACUAGAGUGCGGUAGGGGAGAUUGGAAUUCCUGGUGUAGCGGUGGAAUGCGCAGAUAUCAGGAGGAACACCUAUGGCGAAGGCAGAUCUCUGGGCCGUAACUGACGCUGAGGAGCGAAAGCGUGGGGAGCGAACAGGAUUAGAAACCCCUGUAGUCC
RNAcentral lists this ribosomal RNA (430 nucleotides) under uncultured bacterium. RNAcentral describes it as "partial 16S ribosomal RNA". It matches the Rfam family "Bacterial small subunit ribosomal RNA", at positions 354 to 796 of the family's 1533-position model. The record is from RNAcentral.